RNAcentral lists this ribosomal RNA (399 nucleotides) under uncultured bacterium. RNAcentral describes it as "partial 16S ribosomal RNA". It matches the Rfam family "Bacterial small subunit ribosomal RNA", at positions 360 to 776 of the family's 1533-position model. The record is from RNAcentral.
AAUUUUGGACAAUGGGGGAAACCCUGAUCCAGCCAUCCCGCGUGUAUGAUGAAGGCCUUCGGGUUGUAAACUCCUGUCUUCGCUGACGAUAAUGACGGUAAGCGAGGAGGAAGCCACGGCUAACUACGUGCCAGCAGCCGCGGUAAUACGUAGGUGGCGAGCGUUGUCCGGAAUUACUGGGCGUAAAGGGUGCGUAGGCGGAAUCUUAAGUCAGAUGUGAAAUACCUGGGCUCAACCCGGGAAUGGCAUUUGAAACUGGGGUUCUAGAGUGCAGGAGAGGAAAGCGGAAUUCCUAGUGUAGCGGUGAAAUGCGUAGAUAUUAGGAAGAACACCAGUGGCGAAGGCGGCUUUCUGGACUGUAACUGACGCUGAGGCACGAAAGCGUGGGGAGCAAACAGG